This 126-nucleotide small RNA is filed under the name Marmota monax (woodchuck). Lineage: Eukaryota; Metazoa; Chordata; Mammalia; Rodentia; Sciuridae. The record is from RNAcentral.
GCUGGGAAUGGUGGCACAUACCUGUAAUCCCAGCCACUCAGGAAGCUGAGGCAGGAGGAUUGCAAGUUCAAGGUCAUCCUCAGCAAUUUAGCAUGACCCUAAGUAUUUAGCAAGAUCCCCUCUCAA